CUUAUACGACUGACGGAAGUGGAAUUGACCACAGGAAGUAUAGGAAGAAAGCGCCGACCGUCUGGGCAUCA
This 71-nucleotide non-coding RNA is filed under the name uncultured Lachnoclostridium sp. RNAcentral describes it as "ZMP/ZTP riboswitch". It matches the Rfam family "ZMP/ZTP riboswitch aptamer (pfl RNA motif)", at positions 6 to 82 of the family's 86-position model. From Rfam's summary of the family: Previously known as pfl RNA. Lineage: Bacteria; Bacillati; Bacillota; Clostridia; Lachnospirales; Lachnospiraceae. The record is from RNAcentral.